UCCGCGUUGUGCGCGGCAGUCUGAACGGAGGUAUAACCGUCCACGGGGGUUGCGCUCGUUAGGGGACUUAACCCAACACCUCACGGCACGAGCUGACGACAGCCAUGCAGCACCGUGCUAGCCGCCCCUUGCGGGGACACCCCAUUACAGGUGGUGCAACUAGCAUUGAACCCAGGUAAGGUGCUUCGCGUCGCAUCGAAUUAAACCACACGCUCCGCUGCUUGUGCGGGUCCCCGUCAAUUCCUUUGAGUUUUAACCUUGCGGCCGUACUCCCCAGGCGGUCCACUUCAUGCGUUAGCUUCGGCACGCAGGGGGUCGAUACCCCGCACACCUAGUGGACAUCGUUUACCGCAUGGACUAC
This 361-nucleotide unclassified non-coding RNA is filed under the name uncultured Ktedonobacterales bacterium. Its description in RNAcentral is "contains 16S-23S intergenic spacer region". The record is from RNAcentral. Lineage: Bacteria; Bacillati; Chloroflexota; Ktedonobacteria; Ktedonobacterales.